CUCGCAAUAAAGCUAGAGGCUAAGGCUAAAAACCCCAAAACCGAAAAGCAAGCCACUGCACACAAGCUAUAAUCAAUCCCCAAGUCCAUUUUCAAGGGAAAAAAGUACACAAAAGUUAGGCAUUUUGCAAAGAUUUUCAAGAUUCUUCUUUCUCUAUCUCUCUUUCUCUCCCUCUCUCUCUCUCAUACAGAGCCACUCUUGCCCAUCAUUGAUUGAAAAGACAAAAAAAUUUCACACACAAGUCAAUCAAAAUAGACUGUAUCUUACAAUUUAAUGGCACUCUCUAUCUUCCACACGGAUCAGUCGAAAGCAAAUCAGACUCACAUUCCAAGCUUUUCUAUCUAUCUUAUUAUGAUGGUGAUGAUGGUCAUGAUGAAGUGGAUCUGUGUCCUAGCCUCAGCUCUAGAUCAAGUUCUCCAUUUCCCAAGUCCUUGAACAUGUUGUUGCUAUUGUCAAAAGAGGCUGCGGGUUCAGCUUUGCUAGAGUAAAAAUGAGUAGAAUUUAUCACUGGUGUUGCUACUGGAUAAUUAAGAGAUUGCCCAAUCAAGUUGUUGUGGGGACAUGGUGAGAUAGAGAGAAGAGUAGAAGGUGAGUCAAUAGCACAUGCAUUCAUAACUGAGGGAUUGAAAACCCCAUUAGGGUUAGGUAA
This 649-nucleotide unclassified non-coding RNA is filed under the name Hevea brasiliensis (rubber tree). The record is from RNAcentral. Lineage: Eukaryota; Viridiplantae; Streptophyta; Magnoliopsida; Malpighiales; Euphorbiaceae.